This is a long non-coding RNA of Cyprinus carpio carpio, 385 nucleotides long. NCBI's taxonomy places the organism in Eukaryota, Metazoa, Chordata, Actinopteri, Cypriniformes, Cyprinidae. The record is from Ensembl.
GAACCUUUUCCUGUUAUACCUUGUUAAAGCAGUGUCAUUCUUGUCAGAGAACUUGCUGAGUACAGCCAUAGAGGAUAGAGAACAAGAGGAGGUCCAAGAAGGUUUUGACAUCUGGUUCAGAAUUGCAGUCCUGGUGGAGUUCAGGAUCUCUCCCUCCAGCAUCAGAUGAGAGAUCUGAUAAAGAUAAACGUGUGGAAAACGUGUCAUUUGAUGAAGGAGGCUCUGGGCAAACACGGGCGACAUGAUGAGCCUGUGAUCUGCCUGCAUGAGUGUCAGCAGGAGACGGGCCAGAGAUCUCAAUCCAGAGCCUCGCUCUCACUCUCCCAUUCUCUGACUCUCUCUUCUCCUGUACAACUGAUAGUGCUGUUGAACAUAAAAAUCAGAC